UACGGAGGGUGCAAGCGUUAUCCGGAUUUACUGGGCUUAAAGGGUGCGCAGGCGGAUAUGUAAGUCAGUGGUGAAAUCUCUGGGCUUAACCCGGAAAUUGCCAUUGAUACUAUAUAUCUUGAAUGCUGUGGAGGUAAGCGGAAUAUGUCAUGUAGCGGUGAAAUGCUUAGAGAUGACAUAGAACACCUAUUGCGAAGGCAGCUUACUACGCAGAUAUUGACGCUCAUGCACGAAAGCGUGGGGAUCAAACAGG
RNAcentral lists this ribosomal RNA (253 nucleotides) under uncultured bacterium. Its description in RNAcentral is "partial 16S ribosomal RNA". It matches the Rfam family "Bacterial small subunit ribosomal RNA", at positions 524 to 776 of the family's 1533-position model. The record is from RNAcentral.